AUACGGAGGGAGCAGGCGUUAUUCGGAAUCACUGGGCGUAAAGGACGCGUAGGCGGGUUUGUAAGUCAGGUGUGAAAUCCUACAGCUCAACUGUAGAACUGCACUUGAAACUACAGACCUGGAGUAUGGAAGGGGCAGAUGGAAUUAGUGGUGUAGGGGUAAAAUCCGUAGAUAUCACUAGGAAUACCGAAAGCGAAGGCGAUCUGCUGGGACAUUACUGACGCUGAGGCGUGAAAGCGUGGGGAGCAAACAGGAUUAGAAACCCCAGUAGUCC
RNAcentral lists this ribosomal RNA (274 nucleotides) under uncultured bacterium. RNAcentral describes it as "partial 16S ribosomal RNA". It matches the Rfam family "Bacterial small subunit ribosomal RNA", at positions 523 to 796 of the family's 1533-position model. The record is from RNAcentral.